Long non-coding RNA from Ictalurus punctatus (channel catfish), 453 nucleotides. The record is from Ensembl. NCBI's taxonomy places the organism in Eukaryota, Metazoa, Chordata, Actinopteri, Siluriformes, Ictaluridae.
GGAACCGACGCGCAUAGAUCCCGCGGUAGUAGACUCUCCAUUAGAGGAACCCAUGCUCGCGCUGCAACUGAAGAAACUUGACCUUGUCGUCUGCAGUAUCAAGCUCAGCUACAGUUCCACACACUGGAGCUGGAAACCAAGAAGGAGGUAAAGCUGAAGGCGCUGGAGUUAGAGUUGGCGCUGUGAAAUAGGCCAGCUCCCGGUUCACCUGCGUCUCCUGCACCUGCGCUUCCUCUACCUGUUCAUCAGUCAUCGCCUGUGCUAGAGCUUGCGCCUCGUGGCACCUCGUCUGCUAAUAGCACCAGCUGCUUUCCAUUGCUCUAAGGAGUGAUUCUACUGCGGCAACGAGUCCAAAUACAACGAAAGAAGACGGAUCUUUUGGUAGGCUGGUUAAUGAUGACCACAAGCACCCAAAUGGCAGAAUGCAGAAGACUGAAGUGGAUGGAAGCCCAC